AUUGAACGCUGGCGGCAUGCCUUACACAUGCAAGUCGAACGGCAGCACGGGGGCAACCCUGGUGGCGAGUGGCGAACGGGUGAGUAAAGCAUCGGAACGUGCCCUGGAGUGGGGGAUAACGUAGCGAAAGUUACGCUAAUACCGCAUAUUCUGUGAGCAGUAAAGCAGGGGAUCGCAAGACCUUGCGCUUUAGGAGCGGCCGAUGUCGGAUUAGCUAGUUGGUGAGGUAAAGGCUCACCAAGGCGACGAUCCGUAGCGGGUCUGAGAGGAUGAUCCGCCACACUGGGACUGAGACACGGCCCAGACUCCUACGGGAGGCAGCAGUGGGGAAUUUUGGACAAUGGGCGCAAGCCUGAUCCAGCCAUGCCGCGUGAGUGAAGAAGGCCUUCGGGUUGUAAAGCUCUUUCGGUGGGGAAGAAAUUGCUUAGGAUAAUACCCUGAGUAGAUGACGGUACCCGCAUAAGAAGCACCGGCUAACUACGUGC
This 485-nucleotide ribosomal RNA is filed under the name uncultured Propionivibrio sp. RNAcentral describes it as "bacterial SSU rRNA". It matches the Rfam family "Bacterial small subunit ribosomal RNA", at positions 30 to 508 of the family's 1533-position model. Lineage: Bacteria; Pseudomonadati; Pseudomonadota; Betaproteobacteria; Rhodocyclales; Rhodocyclaceae. The record is from RNAcentral.